CCUACGGGAGGCAGCAGUGAGGAAUAUUGGACAAUGGGCGCAAGCCUGAUCCAGCCAUGCCGCGUGCAGGAAGAAGCAUCUAUGGUGUGUAAACUGCUUUUGUACAGGAAGAAACACUCCCUCGUGAGGGAGCUUGACGGUACUGUAAGAAUAAGGACCGGCUAACUCCGUGCCAGCAGCCGCGGUAAUACGGAGGGUCCGAGCGUUAUCCGGAAUCAUUGGGUUUAAAGGGUCCGUAGGCGGUUUAAUAAGUCAGUGGUGAAAUCUGGUCGCUCAACGAUCAAACGGCCAUUGAUACUGUUAGACUUGAAUUAUAAGGAAGUAACUAGAAUAUGUAGUGUAGCGGUGAAAUGCUUAGAUAUUACAUGGAAUACCAAUUGCGAAGGCAGGUUACUACUUAUGGAUUGACGCUGAUGGACGAAAGCGUGGGGAGCGAACAGGAUUAGAUACCCUGGUAGUCACGCCGUAAACGAUGGAUACUAGCUGUUCGGAGCAAUCUGAGUGGCUAAGCGAAAGUGAUAAGUAUCCCACCUGGGGAGUACGUUCGCAGAAUGAAACUCAAAUGAAUUGACCGGNNGAGAGAGCGAGACGACGACGAGGGAGAGG
RNAcentral lists this ribosomal RNA (606 nucleotides) under uncultured bacterium. Its description in RNAcentral is "bacterial SSU rRNA". It matches the Rfam family "Bacterial small subunit ribosomal RNA", at positions 338 to 950 of the family's 1533-position model. The record is from RNAcentral.